AGGCUCAGCUAAGAGACACAAUGUCCCCACAACAACGGCCGAACGAAGGAGAGGGAACCGAGCAGAGCUGUGACUGUGGGAGGGAGGCCAAAUUGUUUGUCUCUCCCCAUGUCAAGGCUCUGCAGCGGGGACGAGGCCAUGAGAACAACUGCUCCCUGUCUGGUUUCUGGCUGAUGGCUCCAUCAGGGUAGAGCAACAGGGAGCCUGACACUGGAACAGGCAAGAUGGCACCAAACCUGGCAACCUCACUGUGAUGAAAAGACUCCAGGAAGCUGAACAGUCGCUGCACCCAGCUGCUAGCUUCAGCCUUAAACAUUUUCAACAUUUUAUCUGUUGUGUAUAGAUUUAAAAAAAAAAGAGGGGUGUCAAGAUUUUAAUUCUAAAUUCAAGAUCAUUUAAAAAACAGCUUUCAAUUUCACUUAUCAAAUUCAAAAGAAUUGGUGAUUCAGACCACAUACCUACUUUUUAAUAAAGAAUUUGAAAACGCAAAUGACAGUUGUCUGGGCAUAAAAUGUUCUGAUGACCUUUAUGUAUCAAAAGAAAAAAAAAUGUUUCCUUUGAACACUGAAGGAAUUGUGAGCUUGAAAUGAAAAGGCUAAUGGACAUCCCAAUUAACAAACAAGACAACGUUCAUUAGUGAGCUUUGGAGCUUUUUUCUCCUUCUUUAUGCUAAGCUAGGCUAAUGAGUGCAGUCAUGAUUAAAAUCUAUCUUCUCUCAAGCAAAUGAGGGCUAUCCCAUAUUUGGUACUCUUUCUUCAACCAUGCUUUAGUUGUUAGGUGAAACUAUUGUAGAAAAAACAGUUUUUGCCGAUUGUUCAGUAUGAAUGUUUCACUCAUUCACUACUCCUUACUCACAGGGCUAUAAAGUGAGUUCAUCAGCAAAAUGAACACUUUCCAGACUCUACUAGGCUCAAUUUCUCGCUGCUGGUAAUUAUAACAUUGCUGUUGCACAAUUAAAACGUACCACACCAAUGUCAGCUGGUGGAUCAUACAUAAUAAAUACUGAAAAUAUUUUGUGAUGAAUACAUAAUGAGCAUAUUUUCCCAAAUUAAGGAAUGCAAAAUACUUUGUAGCCUGUAGAUUGUUUUUGUUGUGAUGUGUUGCUCUGCUCAAAUUAAACAUGCUAUUUUCUCACCACAACCCAGAUUCGUCUAAGAUCUCUGUAGAAAUUCCAACAAGUGGUGAACAGCGAGUUAUACGGCAGGAUAUUCAAUGCCAACAGAAUGAAUUCAGGGAUCCUCAGACCAGGAAGUAUUUACAGUCAUGGUACAAACAUUAAACACAUAAACAUAACAACUAUGGUGAAUUUCUAAUGGAAACAAGAAAAAAAGCAUAAA
This is a long non-coding RNA of Centropristis striata (black sea bass), 1337 nucleotides long. RefSeq lists it as uncharacterized. The transcript has 3 exons. Lineage: Eukaryota; Metazoa; Chordata; Actinopteri; Perciformes; Serranidae. The record is from RefSeq and is a predicted model, not a curated record.